GUCAAAUAUAUUAAAAUUUACGAUGGAUACCUAGGCAUUUAGAGUCGAUGAAGGGCGUGGAUACCAACGAAAUGCUUCGGUUAGUUGGAAACAAACUUUGAUCCGAAGAUUCCCGAAUAGGAAAACCUAUAUAACUACUUAAUGAAUUCAUAAUUAAGUAAGAGACAACCUGCUGAAUUGAAACAUCUUAGUAAGCAGAGGAAAAGAAAGCAAACGCGAUUUCCUUAGUAGCGGCGAGCGAAACGGAAAUAGUCUAAUCAUUGAAAAAAAAACUAUUAAACGAAGCAGCUGAAUCCUGCACCAUAGAUGGUGAAAGUCCAGUAGUUUAAAAUAGAAAAAAAUGAUUAUAAAGUAGCAUGGAACACGUGAAAUUCCGUGUGAAUAUACGAGGACCACCUCGUAAGACUAAAUACUCCUAAAUGACCGAUAGUGAAACAGUACCGUGAGGGAAAGGUGAAAAAGAACCCCUGUAGGGGAGUGAAAAAGAACAUGAAAUCGUAAAUUGACAAUCAGUGGGAGCUAAAGUGACCGCGUGCCUGUUGAAGAAUGAGCCGGCGACUUAUAGGUAGUGGCCAGGUUAAAAUAACUUUUUGGAGCCAAAGCGAAAGCAAGUCUGAUAAGGGCGUCUGUCACUAUUUAUAGACCCGAACCCGAGUGAUCUAACCAUGGCCAGGAUGAAUCUUGGGUAACACCAAGUGGAAGACCGAACCGACUGAUGUUGAAAAAUCAGCGGAUGAGCUGUGGUUAGGGGUGAAAUUCCAGUCGAACUCGGAGCUAGCUGGAUCUCCUCGAAAUGUGUUGAGGCGCAGCGGUUGAUGACGGGCUAUUUAGGGGUAAAGCACUGUUUCGGUGCGGGCUGCGAAAGCGGUACCAAAUCGUGGCAAACUAAGAAUACUAAAUAUGCUUUCCAUCAACCAGUAAGACAGUGGGGGAUAAGCUUCAUUGUCAAAAGGGAAACAGCCCAGAUCACCAGUUAAGGCCCCAAAGUGAUGGCUAAGUGAUAAAGGAAGUAAAAAGGCAAAGACAACCAGAAGGUUUGCUUAGAAGCAGCCAUCCUUGAAAGAGUGCGUAAUAGCUCACUGGUAGAGCCUUUUUGCGCCGAAAAUGAACGGGGCUAAGUCAUCCGCCGAAACUGUGGGUUACAGUUAAAAUACUGUUACGGUAGAGGAGCGUUCCGUUAUAGGGUGAAGUUAAAAUGUGAAUUUUAAUGGACGAAACGGAAGUGAGAAUGUCGGCUUGAGUAACGAAAACAUUGGUGAGAAUCCAAUGCCCCGAAAACCUAAGGGUUCCUUCACAAGGUUCGUCCAUGGAGGGUUAGUCAGGACCUAAGGCGAGAUCGAAAGGUGUAGUCGAUGGAAAACAGAUUAAUAUUCCUGUACUUGAUUAGGUUUGGUAAAGAGGGACGGAGAAGGCGGUAACUAGCUAGAUAUUGGUAUUCUAGUAGAAGUAUUGAAUUCUUAAAACAAUGAAAAAAAACUUUGUUUAGAAAACAUGCGACCUGACUGGAACUUUAUUAUAUAAAGUUUCGGUUUAGUUUUAGUCAUACUUCCAAGAAAAGCUCUUAUUACCAUUAAAUUUAAUCAACCUGUACCCUAAACUGACACAAGUAGGUAGGUAGAGAAUACUAAGGGGCGCGAGAUAACUCUCUCUAAGGAACUCGGCAAAAUGGCCCCGUAACUUCGGGAGAAGGGGUGCCUAUAUUAUAUAGGCCGCAGUGACCAGGCCCAGGCGACUGUUUAUCAAAAACACAGGUCUCCGCAAAGUCGUAAGACAAUGUAUGGGGGCUGACGUCUGCCCAGUGCCGGAAGGUAAAAGAAGUUGGUUAUUCCUCGGAAAAAGCUGACGACUGAAGCCCCGGUGAACGGCGGCUGUAACUCUGACAGUCCUAAGGUAGCGAAAUUCCUUGUCGAGUAAGUUUCGACCCGCACGAAAGACGUAACGAUCUGGGCACUGUCUCGGAGAGAGACUCGGUGAAAUAGAAAUGUCUGUGAAGAUGCGGACUACUUAUACCAGGACAGAAAGACCCUAUGAAGCUUGACUGUAAUUUGGAAUUGGAUUCGGGCUUUUUUUGCGCAGUCUAGGUGGGAGGCGUUGAUAUUAAGUUUUCGGACUUAAUUGAGCCAUCAGUGAGAGACCACUCUAAAAGAGCUAGAAUUCUAAUAGGAUUCCUUGAAUCAGGAUCCUUGACAGUUUCAGAUGGACAGUUUGACUGGGGCGGUGACCUCCCAAAAGGUAACGGAGGUGUGCAAAGGUUCCCUCAAGCUGGACGGAAAUCAGCUGUAGAGUGCAAAGGUAUAAGGGAGCUUGACUGCAAGACCAACAAGUCGAGCAGAGGCGAAAGCCGGCCUUAGUGAUCCGACGGUUCCGAGUGGAAGGGCCGUCGCUCAACGGAUAAAAGUUACUCUAGGGAUAACAGGCUGAUCUCCCCCAAGAGUUCACAUCGACGGGGAGGUUUGGCACCUCGAUGUCGUUUCAUCGCAACCUGGGGCUGGAGUAGGUCCCAAGGGUUGGGCUGUUCGCCCAUAAAAGCGGUACGUGAGAUGGGUUCAGAACGUCGCGAGACAGUUCGGUCCAUAUCCGGUAUAAGCGUAAGAGCAUUGAGAGGAUCUCAACAUUGUACGAGAGGACCCGAAGGGACGUACCGAUGGUGUACCAGUUCUUAUGCCAAUAGGAAACGCUGGGUAGCUAUGUACGGAGUGGAUAAUCGCUGAAAGCAUUUAAGUGAGAAGCCCACCUCAAGAUGAAUGCUCUCUAUUAGAUCGCGGCAAGACAAGCCGAUAGAUUGGCAUCAAGUGUAAGAUUAGUAAUAAUUUCAGCUGAGAUGUACAAAGGAUCGAUUGAUUUUGAC
This 2848-nucleotide ribosomal RNA is filed under the name Ulva compressa. RNAcentral's name for it is "23S ribosomal RNA". It matches the Rfam family "Bacterial large subunit ribosomal RNA". The record is from RNAcentral. RNAcentral also lists the same sequence under 1 other name. Lineage: Eukaryota; Viridiplantae; Chlorophyta; Ulvophyceae; Ulvales; Ulvaceae.